This 301-nucleotide ribosomal RNA is filed under the name uncultured bacterium. RNAcentral describes it as "partial 16S ribosomal RNA". It matches the Rfam family "Bacterial small subunit ribosomal RNA", at positions 509 to 807 of the family's 1533-position model. The record is from RNAcentral.
CAGUAGCCGCGGUAAUACGGAGGGUGCAAGCGUUAUCCGGAUUCACUGGGUUUAAAGGGUGCGUAGGCGGGCAGGUAAGUCAGUGGUGAAAUCUUCGAGCUUAACUCGGAAACUGCCGUUGAUACUAUCUGUCUUGAAUAACGUUGAGGUGAGCGGAAUAUGUCAUGUAGCGGUGAAAUGCUUAGAUAUGACAUAGAACACCGAUUGCGAAGGCAGCUCACUAAACGCUCAUUGACGCUGAGGCACGAAAGCGUGGGGAUCAAACAGGAUUAGAUACCCCCGUAGUCCCUGUCUCUUAUAC